Molecule: ribosomal RNA, 2749 nt
Filed under: Shigella boydii
Lineage: Bacteria; Pseudomonadati; Pseudomonadota; Gammaproteobacteria; Enterobacterales; Enterobacteriaceae
Also listed under: 1 other name
Description: partial 23S ribosomal RNA
Rfam family: Bacterial large subunit ribosomal RNA
Source: RNAcentral
AUGAGGCGAACCGGGGGAACUGAAACAUCUAAGUACCCCGAGGAAAAGAAAUCAACCGAGAUUCCCCCAGUAGCGGCGAGCGAACGGGGAGCAGCCCAGAGCCUGAAUCAGUGUGUGUGUUAGUGGAAGCGUCUGGAAAGGCGUGCGAUACAGGGUGACAGCCCCGUACACAAAAAUGCACAUAUUGUGAGCUCGAUGAGUAGGGCGGGACACGUGGUAUCCUGUCUGAAUAUGGGGGGACCAUCCUCCAAGGCUAAAUACUCCUGACUGACCGAUAGUGAACCAGUACCGUGAGGGAAAGGCGAAAAGAACCCCGGCGAGGGGAGUGAAAAAGAACCUGAAACCGUGUACGUACAAGCAGUGGGAGCACGCUUAGGCGUGUGACUGCGUACCUUUUGUAUAAUGGGUCAGCGACUUAUAUUCUGUAGCAAGGUUAACCGAAUAGGGGAGCCGAAGGGAAACCGAGUCUUAACUGGGCGUUAAGUUGCAGGGUAUAGACCCGAAACCCGGUGAUCUAGCCAUGGGCAGGUUGAAGGUUGGGUAACACUAACUGGAGGACCGAACCGACUAAUGUUGAAAAAUUAGCGGAUGACUUGUGGCUGGGGGUGAAAGGCCAAUCAAACCGGGAGAUAGCUGGUUCUCCCCGAAAGCUAUUUAGGUAGCGCCUCGUGAAUUCAUCUCCGGGGGUAGAGCACUGUUUCGGCAAGGGGGUCAUCCCGACUUACCAACCCGAUGCAAACUGCGAAUACCGGAGAAUGUUAUCACGGGAGACACACGGCGGGUGCUAACGUCCGUCGUGAAGAGGGAAACAACCCAGACCGCCAGCUAAGGUCCCAAAGUCAUGGUUAAGUGGGAAACGAUGUGGGAAGGCCCAGACAGCCAGGAUGUUGGCUUAGAAGCAGCCAUCAUUUAAAGAAAGCGUAAUAGCUCACUGGUCGAGUCGGCCUGCGCGGAAGAUGUAACGGGGCUAAACCAUGCACCGAAGCUGCGGCAGCGACACUAUGUGUUGUUGGGUAGGGGAGCGUUCUGUAAGCCUGUGAAGGUGUACUGUGAGGUAUGCUGGAGGUAUCAGAAGUGCGAAUGCUGACAUAAGUAACGAUAAAGCGGGUGAAAAGCCCGCUCGCCGGAAGACCAAGGGUUCCUGUCCAACGUUAAUCGGGGCAGGGUGAGUCGACCCCUAAGGCGAGGCCGAAAGGCGUAGUCGAUGGGAAACAGGUUAAUAUUCCUGUACUUGGUGUUACUGCGAAGGGGGGACGGAGAAGGCUAUGUUGGCCGGGCGACGGUUGUCCCGGUUUAAGCGUGUAGGCUGGUUUUCCAGGCAAAUCCGGAAAACUAAGGCUGAGGCGUGAUGACGAGGCACUACGGUGCUGAAGCAACAAAUGCCCUGCUUCCAGGAAAAGCCUCUAAGCAUCAGGUAACAUCAAAUCGUACCCCAAACCGACACAGGUGGUCAGGUAGAGAAUACCAAGGCGCUUGAGAGAACUCGGGUGAAGGAACUAGGCAAAAUGGUGCCGUAACUUCGGGAGAAGGCACGCUGAUAUGUAGGUGAAGUCCCUCGCGGAUGGAGCUGAAAUCAGUCGAAGAUACCAGCUGGCUGCAACUGUUUAUUAAAAACACAGCACUGUGCAAACACGAAAGUGGACGUAUACGGUGUGACGCCUGCCCGGUGCCGGAAGGUUAAUUGAUGGGGUCAGCGCAAGCGAAGCUCUUGAUCGAAGCCCCGGUAAACGGCGGCCGUAACUAUAACGGUCCUAAGGUAGCGAAAUUCCUUGUCGGGUAAGUUCCGACCUGCACGAAUGGCGUAAUGAUGGCCAGGCUGUCUCCACCCGAGACUCAGUGAAAUUGAACUCGCUGUGAAGAUGCAGUGUACCCGCGGCAAGACGGAAAGACCCCGUGAACCUUUACUAUAGCUUGACACUGAACAUUGAGCCUUGAUGUGUAGGAUAGGUGGGAGGCUUUGAAGUGUGGACGCCAGUCUGCAUGGAGCCGACCUUGAAAUACCACCCUUUAAUGUUUGAUGUUCUAACGUUGACCCGUAAUCCGGGUUGCGGACAGUGUCUGGUGGGUAGUUUGACUGGGGCGGUCUCCUCCUAAAGAGUAACGGAGGAGCACGAAGGUUGGCUAAUCCUGGUCGGACAUCAGGAGGUUAGUGCAAUGGCAUAAGCCAGCUUGACUGCGAGCGUGACGGCGCGAGCAGGUGCGAAAGCAGGUCAUAGUGAUCCGGUGGUUCUGAAUGGAAGGGCCAUCGCUCAACGGAUAAAAGGUACUCCGGGGAUAACAGGCUGAUACCGCCCAAGAGUUCAUAUCGACGGCGGUGUUUGGCACCUCGAUGUCGGCUCAUCACAUCCUGGGGCUGAAGUAGGUCCCAAGGGUAUGGCUGUUCGCCAUUUAAAGUGGUACGCGAGCUGGGUUUAGAACGUCGUGAGACAGUUCGGUCCCUAUCUGCCGUGGGCGCUGGAGAACUGAGGGGGGCUGCUCCUAGUACGAGAGGACCGGAGUGGACGCAUCACUGGUGUUCGGGUUGUCAUGCCAAUGGCACUGCCCGGUAGCUAAAUGCGGAAGAGAUAAGUGCUGAAAGCAUCUAAGCACGAAACUUGCCCCGAGAUGAGUUCUCCCUGACUCCUUGAGAGUCCUGAAGGAACGUUGAAGACGACGACGUUGAUAGGCCGGGUGUGUAAGCGCAGCGAUGCGUUGAGCUAACCGGUACUAAUGAACCGUGAGGCUUAACCUUACAACGCCGAAGGUGUUU